AUGGCGGCGGCGGCGGCCGGGGCUUCGGGUUGAUGGCUUCCUGCGUUGGCGGCCUGCUCUUUCCGGCUCGGGGGGAGCAGCCCCAGGGUCUCAGGGGGGUGCUGAUCGGUGAUAGGCUAUACUCCGGCGUGCUCAUCACCUUGGAAAACUGCUUGCUGCCCGACGACAAGCUCCGCUUCACCCCAUCCAUGUCGAGCGGUCCCUCGACGUCGAUACAGAGACUGGACUCCGCGUAGUGGGCUGCGAGCUCAUCCAGGGCAGCCGGCAUCCUGCUUCGCCUGCCGCAGGUGGCCAUGGCUACAGGGCAGGUGUUGUUCCAGCGGUUCUUUUACACUAAGUCCUUCGUGAAACAUUCCAUGGAGCAUGUGUCCAUGGCUUGUGUUCACCUGGCUUCCAAAUAGAAGAGGCUCCAAGACGAAUCAGGGAUGUCAUCAAUGUAUUCCAUCGCCUUCGGCAUCUGAGAGAGAAAAAGAAACCUGUGCCUCUGGUGCUGGAUCAAGAGUAUGUUAAUCUAAAGAACCAGAUUAUAAAGGCAGAGAGACGGGUUCUCAAGGAAUUGGGCUUUUGUGUCCAUGUGAAGCACCCUCACAAGAUAAUCGUUAUGUACCUUCAGGUGUUAGAAUGUGAGCGUAAUCAACACCUGGUCCAGACUGCAUGGAACUACAUGAAUGACAGCCUUCGCACGGAUGUCUUUGUGCGGUUCCAGCCUGAAAGUAUUGCCUGUGCCUGUAUCUAUCUUGCUGCUAGGACACUGGAGAUCCCUUUACCCAAUCGUCCACAUUGGUUUCUUUUGUUUGGAGCAACUGAAGAAGAAAUUCAAGAAAUCUGCUUUAAAAUCUUGCAGCUUUAUACACGGAAAAAGGUUGAUUUGACACAUCUGGAAAGUGAAGUGGAAAAGAGAAAGCAUGCCAUCGAAGAAGCAAAGGCUCGAGCAAAGGGUCUGCUCCCAGGGAAUGCGCCAGGUCUGGAAUGUGCUGCAGGGUUCUCACCUGCUCCCAAGCUGGAAUCCCCCAAAGAAGGUAAAGGAAGCAAGUCCUCCCCACUCUCUGUGAAGAAUGCCAAACGGAAAGUGGAAGGCCCAAAGAAAGUCAAGGGUGACAGCCCUGUCAAUGGGUUGCUAAAAGGGCAGGAGAGUCGAAGUCAAAGCAGGAGUCGUGAGCAGAGCUACUCAAGGUCCCCGUCACGGUCUGCUUCUCCGAAGAGAAGGAAAAGUGAUAGUGGCUCUACCUCAGGUGGGUCCAAGUCACAGAGUCGUUCUCGGAGCCGCAGUGACUCUCCUCCAAGGCAGGUACACCGUGGUGCUCCCUACAAAGGUUCAGAAGUGCGGGUCUCCCGGAAAUCCAAGGACUGCAAGUACCUCACCCAGAAGCCACACAAGUCUCGUAGCCGGAGCUCCUCUCGCUCCCGAAGCCGGUCACGAGAGCGGACAGACAAUUCUGGAAAAUACAAGAAGAAAAGUCAUUACUAUAGAGAUCAAAGACGAGAGCGCUCAAGGUCAUAUGAGCGCACAGGCCAUCGCUAUGAGAGGGACCACCCUGGACACAGCAGGCAUCGGAGGUGAGAUAGGUUCCCUGGUGGUUGCCCUUGGUCCCUCCCUGUUGGGCACACCUUGGCUUCAGUGGCCUUGUAGCAUGAUGUUUUUUGAAAAUGUUUUUGAUUGGACCUUGAGGUGAAUUUGAUUGAUGAGACAGUGGGCAAGGUGCCCUUCAGGCUGGCCUGGGGAGUGCUGCACAUCUGUCCCAGUUAAUGGUCCACCUCAACUGCAGACCUUCAGGUAGCUGGAUGGAACAGCAAAGGCACACGUCUCCGUUGGCGUGGCUUGGUGCUAUUGACAAGCUGUCUCUUCACUCCUAAACUGAUACUCAAUUACGUUAAGACAAGAAAGAUGAUUUUUCAAAUCUUUGCCUAUAUUAGGUUGUACUUGUGUACAUAUUUUACAGUGGUUCACAAUGAGAAAAUGGCCUUAAUAGCCCCCUUGUUCUCUAUUCACGUUGUAAAUAAACAUGUUUAAUACAAGUGAAAGCUAUAUAUGAGAACUCGGAAUUUUGAUUCUGUUAGCUUAACACUUGUAUAAAAAAUUGAGAUUUUUAAAAUGUGACGGUAUUUAGGUCUGUGUUGAAAGUCAUAUAUUUUUAUCUGUGCAAUGCUGAGUGCAGGCCACCAGCUCGAGAGAAAUUUUAUGUGGUUGAAUAAACAAUUCUCAGGACACUUGUUAUGUAA
RNA transcript from Arvicanthis niloticus (Nile rat), 2220 nucleotides. It is a transcript of the gene named cyclin-L2-like, with no coding region annotated. The record is from RefSeq and is a predicted model, not a curated record. Lineage: Eukaryota; Metazoa; Chordata; Mammalia; Rodentia; Muridae.